This 468-nucleotide ribosomal RNA is filed under the name uncultured bacterium. Its description in RNAcentral is "partial 16S ribosomal RNA". It matches the Rfam family "Bacterial small subunit ribosomal RNA", at positions 28 to 507 of the family's 1533-position model. The record is from RNAcentral.
GACGAACGCUGGCGGCGUGCUUAACACAUGCAAGUCGAACGGAAAGGCCCUGCUUUUGUGUGGUGCUCGAGUGGCGAACGGGUGAGUAACACGUGAGUAACCUGCCCUUGACUUUGGGAUAACUUCAGGAAACUGGGGCUAAUACCGGAUAGGAGCUCCUGCUGCAUGGUGGGGGUUGGAAAGUUUCGGCGGUCGGGGAUGGACUCGCGGCUUAUCAGCUUGUUGGUGGGGUAGUGGCUUACCAAGGCUUUGACGGGUAGCCGGCCUGAGAGGGUGACCGGCCACAUUGGGACUGAGAUACGGCCCAGACUCCUACGGGAGGCAGCAGUGGGGAAUAUUGCACAAUGGGCGGAAGCCUGAUGCAGCAACGCCGCGUGCGGGAUGACGGCCUUCGGGUUGUAAACCGCUUUCGCCUGUGACGAAGCGUGAGUGACGGUAAUGGGUAAAGAAGCACCGGCUAACUACGUG